ACACGGCCCAAACUCCUACGGGAGGCAGCAGUAGGGAAUCUUCCACAAUGGACGCAAGCUGGAUGGAGCAACGCCGCGCGAGUGAAGAAGGUUUUCGGAUCGUAAAGCUCUGUUGUUGGUGAAGAAGGAUAGAGGUAGUAACUGGCCUUUAUUUGACGGUAAUCAACCAGAAAGUCACGGCUAACUACGUGCCAGCAGCCGCGGUAAUACGUAGGUGGCAAGCGUUGUCCGGAUUUAUUGGGCGUAAAGCGAGCGCAGGCGGAAGAAUAAGUCUGAUGUGAAAGCCCUCGGCUUAACCGAGGAACUGCAUCGGAAACUGUUUUUCUUGAGUGCAGAAGAGGAGAGUGGAACUCCAUGUGUAGCGGUGGAAUGCGUAGAUAUAUGGAAGAACACCAGUGGCGAAGGCGGCUCUCUGGUCUGCAACUGACGCUGAGGCUCGAAAGCAUGUGUAGCGAACAGGAUUAGAUACCCUGGUAGUCCAUGCCGUAAACGAUGAGUGCUAAGUGUUGGGAGGUUUCCGCCUCUCAGUGCUGCAGCUAACGCAUUAAGCACUCCGCCUGGGGAGUACGACCGCAAGGUUGAAACUCAAAGGAAUUGACGGGGGGCCGCACAAGCGGUGGAGCAUGUGGUUUAAUUCGAAGCAACGCGAAGAACCUUACCAGGUCUUGACAUCUAGUGCCAUUUGUAGAGAUACAAAGUUUCCUUCGGCGACGCUAAGACAGGUGGUGCAUGACUGUCGUCAGCUCGUGUCAGGAGAUGUUGGGAUAAGUCCCGCAACGAGCGCACCCUUGUAUUAGUUGCCAGCAUUAGUGGGCACUCUAUGAGACUGCCGGCGACAAUCGGAGAAGCGGGACGACGAA
RNAcentral lists this ribosomal RNA (860 nucleotides) under uncultured bacterium. Its description in RNAcentral is "bacterial SSU rRNA". It matches the Rfam family "Bacterial small subunit ribosomal RNA", at positions 324 to 1186 of the family's 1533-position model. The record is from RNAcentral.